RNAcentral lists this unclassified non-coding RNA (320 nucleotides) under Hevea brasiliensis (rubber tree). The record is from RNAcentral. Lineage: Eukaryota; Viridiplantae; Streptophyta; Magnoliopsida; Malpighiales; Euphorbiaceae.
GUCAAAGCAGAGCUUUGGCUGUGUUUGCUGUCUUGACUUGAAUUUCGAUCAGUCCUAGUCUGAUUUAAUAAAUCAAAUCCUUGGUUAAAUGAAUUCACGUUCAAAUGGCCAUUGACAAUGGAUCCUGAUGAUGUAACCUCAAUAUUCUCGUUUGCAACCUUAUUCAUCUUGGAAAAAUCUUUUAGCGUCGGUUCUUCAGAGAAUGUUGCUGUUGCUUCAGUUUCACUUGUUUGCAUUUGAUCUGACUCCAGGCUGCUGCAUGGCUUUGAUCCAUCACCAGUCAGCUGCAGUGGUAAUAGGUCUGCUUCAAUGAAGAGCCG